UGUUGACACUUAUACAGGCAAACAUGUUGGAACAACUUAUUUUUGAGUUGGAGCAUUCAAUUAGGACCGCCGGCAGAUACCUUGAUAGGACAGUGAAAGAGCCCCCUUCAACACUUUUAUGGAUUUUAUUCUUUUUGGCUUAGCAUUAUGACAGAAGAGGACAAUAUGACGUUGCUCUUUCAAAAAUUAAUGAGGCCAUAGAGCACACACCAACUGUAAUUGAUUUAUACUCUGUCAAGAGUCGGAUACUGAAACAUGCUGGUGAUUUGGUAGCUGUGGCUUCAUUGACAGAUGAAGCUAGGUGUAUGGAUCUUGCAGAUCGCUAUAUAAACAGUGAAUCUGUGAAGCGAAUGUUGCAGGCUGAUAGGUUCUAAAGCUCCCCCCUUCAUCUUUUGUCAUAGUUAAUAAAAAAGGACAUUUUUUUAAUUUUUUUUUACAAUUUCAAAAUCUCAAGACUUCUUUUUUUGUGU
Molecule: non-coding RNA, 470 nt
Organism: Durio zibethinus
Lineage: Eukaryota; Viridiplantae; Streptophyta; Magnoliopsida; Malvales; Malvaceae
Source: RefSeq, a predicted model, not a curated record